CACCAGCAGGCAGCAUAUAAGAAUAACUGCAUACUUAGCCAUGCUUGGUAAAGUUGGUCCAGAUGGGAUUUCAUGGAAGGCAGUGGUAAAGAGAAAGUACUUUCUGAAGUAUUGACAACCAUUAACCAUUAUAAAAGUAUAUUUGGACAAGGGUACUUAGCAUUAAGAGUGAGUUUGGAUGCAAAGUGCAAGUGGUGAGUUCUUAUAUGAGUGCGAUUGGACCUUUCCUCAACACCCUAGGAAUCAUAAUUUGUUGCUAUGUGUCUCAGUGGGCAAAUAUGUAUACAUGUAGAUAGGCGUAAAUUUCAAGACCUUAUGAAC
Molecule: long non-coding RNA, 321 nt
Organism: Juglans microcarpa x Juglans regia
Lineage: Eukaryota; Viridiplantae; Streptophyta; Magnoliopsida; Fagales; Juglandaceae
Exons: 3
Source: RefSeq, a predicted model, not a curated record